CAAGUCGAGCGGAACGAGUUAUCUGAACCUUCGGGGGACGAUAACGGCGUCGAGCGGCGGACGGGUGAGUAAUGCCUAGGAAAUUGCCCUGAUGUGGGGGAUAACCAUUGGAAACGAUGGCUAAUACCGCAUGAUGCCUACGGGCCAAAGAGGGGGACCUUCGGGCCUCUCGCGUCAGGAUAUGCCUAGGUGGGAUUAGCUAGUUGGUGAGGUAAGGGCUCACCAAGGCGACGAUCCCUAGCUGGUCUGAGAGGAUGAUCAGCCACACUGGAACUGAGACACGGUCCAGACUCCUACGGGAGGCAGCAGUGGGGAAUAUUGCACAAUGGGCGCAAGCCUGAUGCAGCCAUGCCGCGUGUGUGAAGAAGGCCUUCGGGUUGUAAAGCACUUUCAGUCGUGAGGAAGGUGGUGUAGUUAAUAGCUGCAUCAUUUGACGUUAGCGACAGAAGAAGCACCGGCUAACUCCGUGCCAGCAGC
RNAcentral lists this ribosomal RNA (477 nucleotides) under bacterium 1611-S1-05-1. Its description in RNAcentral is "bacterial SSU rRNA". It matches the Rfam family "Bacterial small subunit ribosomal RNA", at positions 58 to 515 of the family's 1533-position model. The record is from RNAcentral.